This 1368-nucleotide long non-coding RNA is filed under the name Dromaius novaehollandiae (emu). RNAcentral describes it as "lncRNA (ENSDNVG00000008406.1)". The record is from RNAcentral. Lineage: Eukaryota; Metazoa; Chordata; Aves; Casuariiformes; Dromaiidae.
GCCCCCUCCCGCGGCCGCCGCCCGCCAGGCGCCCGCCCCUCACGCCGGUUUGUUGUCAACCGCCAGGGCGGGGUGACGGCGGGGCGGGCGCGGGGCCCGGCGGCGCGGCCCGCAGCGCUCCCUGCCGGCCGUGCUGAGGGCGGGCGGGCAGCGCCAUGUCUCCCGGCGCGGCCGCCCCCGAGCGGGCGAGAUUUGCCCCCCGCAGGGCGCUGAGGCGAGGGCGAAGCUGGACUGCUUGGACCACUGAAUCUUCACAUGGGUACGUGCUGGCAGGAUCAGGCCACGGACAUCUGUGGGAGAUACCGGUAGGAUGUUAUUGAGACAGUGUGGACUAUCCCUGCAACAUCACUCAAGUAAGAACUGAAAAGGAGAUAGUCUGUACUGUAAGGAAUAUAUUUGAAAGGAGGAUGAAGGUGAAGUGUUGGUUACACUAAUUCCAGGAGAACACUAUUCUUUCUCCUCCUGGAUCCAAGGAAGAAGAGUUAUCCAUAACUUGUGAGUAGUAUGAGUUACGAAACUGACUUUAAAAAGUGGUAAGCCACAAUAGUUUGGUAAACAAAUCUAACAGCAAUAGAAAUGCUAGGAAUGACUAUAAUGUUUUCCUUACAUCUUUAUACUUAAUAGUUGUUUAUGUUUUUUUUUAACAUCUUCUCUUUGCUGAUGCACAUACUCCAUGUUCUGUAAUGUCUAAAGGUUUGUCUGGCUGGGAAAACUGCAUCAACAGACUGCUAUAAUUAUACAGGCAGAGUAAUAGUAUUGCUCAAGCAGAGACUGUUUCUCCAGCUUCAGCGUCAUUUUCCACUUUAGCUUAAGGCCUUUCUGAAGUUACAUAGACCAGAUUAAAAUGGUGGUCUUAUAAGAAAAUAAGAAUAUCCACCUUGGACACUGCAGCAUCUUUCCAUUAAAAAUGUUUUCAUUUAGGUUUUAAAAAUUAUUUUUCUGCGAGGAUGAUACUAAGUGUAUUUCCAUUAGAAGGUUUUAAAGAAUUUUACAAAAUAAGUAAUAGUACCCCAUUUUACAGCUGGGCAACUGAGGAGUAGAAUUUUUAACCAGAUUUCCACAAGUCACAUAGGAAAUACUUUCUGAUGUGGGAACAAAACAUAUAUCUUGCUCUCAUUAGCACAAAACCACAAAGCCUCUCUGAACUGUUGACACUGCUACCUAAUCUCAACCCCGGUGUUAAUGAGGCCACUUACACUCAAUUUUCAGUCAGAUCUGAAAAUGAGAGUCAGAUAUGAGGUGGGAUCACAGAAAUAACUCUGCAGUAUGCCUGAGUCAGGUUAAAACUUGCACCAUAAGGGGAUUAGGGAAUAAGUGCCAAAACUCUUAUCUGUAAUGAUCUCAAUUGAUUCUGACCACGUCAAUGCU